This 442-nucleotide ribosomal RNA is filed under the name uncultured bacterium. RNAcentral describes it as "bacterial SSU rRNA". It matches the Rfam family "Bacterial small subunit ribosomal RNA", at positions 28 to 456 of the family's 1533-position model. The record is from RNAcentral.
GACGAACGCUGGCGGCGUGCCUAACACAUGCAAGUCGAGCGGGGAUUAAGGAAGAGCUUGCUCAGAAUUAAUCCUAGCGGCGGACGGGUGAGUAACGCGUGAGCAACCUGCCUUUCACAGGGGGAUAACGCAUCGAAAGGUGUGCUAAUACCGCAUGAGACCACAGGGGGACAUCCUCCAGGGGUCAAAGGAGCAAUCCGGUGAAAGAUGGGCUCGCGUCUGAUUAGCUAGUUGGUGAGGUAACGGCCCACCAAGGCGACGAUCAGUAGCCGACCUGAGAGGGUGAUCGGGCCACAUUGGGAACUGAGAGACGGUCCAAACUCCUACGGGAGGCAGCAGUGGGGAAUAUUGGGCAAUGGGGGGAACCCUGACCCAGCAACGCCGCGUGAAGGGAAGAAGGUUUUCGGAUUGUAAACUUCUGUCCUAUGAGACGAAGGGAAGU